GCUGGCUUAGCUCAGUUAGUUAGAGCAGGGGUCUGGAAAACCUUGAGUCGCAGGUUCAAAUCCCGUCGCCAGCA
Molecule: transfer RNA, 74 nt
Filed under: Chloroflexota bacterium
Lineage: Bacteria; Bacillati; Chloroflexota
Description: Chloroflexi bacterium tRNA-Ser
Rfam family: tRNA
About the family: Transfer RNA (tRNA) molecules are approximately 80 nucleotides in length. Their secondary structure includes four short double-helical elements and three loops (D, anti-codon, and T loops).
Source: RNAcentral